Molecule: long non-coding RNA, 1685 nt
Filed under: Delphinapterus leucas (beluga whale)
Lineage: Eukaryota; Metazoa; Chordata; Mammalia; Artiodactyla; Monodontidae
Description: lncRNA (ENSDLEG00000002170.1)
Source: RNAcentral
CCUCUGUGCUCCCUGCCUAUUCCCUCUCCCUUUUUCCCCUUGUCUCUGUCUCUGGAUGUCUCUGUGUCUCUGGGUGUUUCUGUGAGUCUCCUGGCCUCAGGGCACCUCCCUGCUUUUGAGUUCCCCUCUGCUCCCUGCCCCUCCCUUUCCCCUCUGUCUCCUUCUGUGUGUCUCUGUGUAUCUCUGUGUGUCUCUGUAGGUCUCUGUGCUUUUCCUUGUCUCUGUGUCCCCCUCUAUUCCCCACCCCUCUCCCCUCUCUCUGUUACUGCAUCUCUAUCUGUUUCAGCCUAUCUCUGCGUGUCUCUGUCUCUGUGAAUCUCUGUGUCUCUGUGAGUCUGGGGCCUCUCCCUGACUCCGUGUCCCCUGCGCUCCCCGCCCUCUCCCUCUCCCUCUCUCCCCCCUCUCUCUCUCGCUCGCGCUCUCUCUCUGAGCAUCCUUGGGCCCGGGGUUGCCAUGGGGACAAGGUGGGAGCCGGGGAUGGCGCGCGCCUGGGCUCGCGCCGGCAGCUCAGGCGAGGAGCAGCGGCCAGAGCAGCGCCAGCAGCAGGCAGCGAGCGGGCGCGGGAGCGGGAGCGGGAGCGGGGGUAGCGUUGGCGGCGGCGGCUCCUCCUCGGCCAUCCCCUCGGAGCUGUGCAGCUGACGCGCAUGGCGAAGACAGCGGCGCCUACCGAUGGGAGCAGCGGUUCUCUACUGGACCAGGUUGGUGGCUUGAAUGUAUUAGCUUCGCUGCUUCUGCCCAAGAGGUAAGGGCCACGGUCCCAGAGCUUUGCUUAUUGCUGUGCUCCGCCUCCAGUCUCCUCUCGGAAGCCCCUGCUUUCCCAUCCUCAUCUCCGGCCCCACCCCGGGGAUGCUGCCCUUCCUCGCUCUGCCUCUGUCCUCUGCGAGGUUACUCUGAUCUGUGUGUCCUGCGGCUUUCUGGCCAAAUCCGUGGUUCUGGUUGUUGGUGACCGUGGGGAUUUCUGCCAAUGAGUGGUAGGUAGGCUCAGUAGGAGAGAGAUGGGGGUAACUUGGUGGCUCAGAUCACAGCUUGGGGUCAGGACCUCCCGUGUCAGAAUCUCUUUUCUGUCCCUUCCUGACUGCGAGUGACUUGGGACAGUCAGAGCCUCCAUUUCCUCGUCUAUAAAAGGGCAUAAUAACAGAACCCACUCUACUCGCUGUCCCGAGGAUGGAAGCCUAGUGAGGCUCUUCAGGUUCCAGCUCGGGAGCCAGACAGCACCAGCUCUGCCUGCUGCCAGCUGUGCGAUCCUCAGUUUCCCCAUCUGUCAAAGGAGGGUAAUGACAGCACCCCUGCACACACACACACACACACACACACACAGGAUGUGAGGAUGAAAGAAGUUACUCCAGGAAAGCAUGGAGCCUGGGAAUCAGGAGCCUGAAAUGCAGCUGGAAGCUCCCCUGAGCAAGUGAGGAUUUGUGAGGCCCCUCCUUGGAGCCCGCUGAGACUCUCAGACAGAAGCAGGAGUCCUCUAGCCGCUCAGCUCUGCAGGAGGCAGAGGCUCUGGGCAUCUGCUCUGGGGUUGGCUCCACUCAGCUUGGUGAGGCCCUGGCAGUGAGCAUCUGGGGAGGGGUAGGGACAGGGCCUCUGGGGUGGGACCCUGCCUCGUGCUGCCCCAACCAGAACGGUUUAACCCACAGGCCUCAGGACCCCAGAGAGGCCUCUGCUUGCCCUUAUAGCCUCGUUGC